UACGAUGGGGGUCUAUAAUGCAAGUCGAACGCACAGCGAAAGGUGCUUGCACCUUUCAAGUGAGUGGCGAACGGGUGAGUAACACGUGGACAACCUGCCUCAAGGCUGGGGAUAACAUUUGGAAACAGAUGCUAAUACCGAAUAAAACUUAGUGUCGCAUGACAAAAAGUUAAAAGGCGCUUCGGCGUCACCUAGAGAUGGAUCCGCGGUGCAUUAGUUAGUUGGUGGGGUAAAGGCCUACCAAGACAAUGAUGCAUAGCCGAGUUGAGAGACUGAUCGGCCACAUUGGGACUGAGACACGGCCCAAACUCCUACGGGAGGCUGCAGUAGGGAAUCUUCCACAAUGGGCGAAAGCCUGAUGGAGCAACGCCGCGUGUGUGAUGAAGGCUUUCGGGUCGUAAAGCACUGUUGUAUGGGAAGAACAGCUAGAAUAGGAAAUGAUUUUAGUUUGACGGUACCAUACCAGAAAGGGACGGCUAAAUACGUGCCAGCAGCCGCGGUAAUACGUAUGUCCCGAGCGUUAUCCGGAUUUAUUGGGCGUAAAGCGAGCGCAGACGGUUUAUUAAGUCUGAUGUGAAAGCCCGGAGCUCAACUCCGGAAUGGCAUUGGAAACUGGUUAACUUGAGUGCAGUAGAGGUAAGUGGAACUCCAUGUGUAGCGGUGGAAUGCGUACAUAUAUGGAAGAACACCAGUGGCGAAGGCGGCUUACUGGACUGCAACUGACGUUGAGGCUCGAAAGUGUGGGUAGCAAACAGGAUUAAUCCGGGGGGGAACAACCCAUAAUCCAACAAAAUUGUUGGAAGAAUGGAUUUUUACCCCCA
Molecule: ribosomal RNA, 821 nt
Filed under: Leuconostoc mesenteroides
Lineage: Bacteria; Bacillati; Bacillota; Bacilli; Lactobacillales; Lactobacillaceae
Description: bacterial SSU rRNA
Rfam family: Bacterial small subunit ribosomal RNA
Source: RNAcentral